CUGGUUUAUUUUAUUCUUCUGUCUCUUCGUCCUCAUCACAGGUCAGUCCUCACGCAGCUCUCCCACAGCCGGUUAGCCCUCUGAUAACGCCACCUGUCACACAGGAAGUGAGACAACAGGUCUUUGACAACAGACUGACUUCAUCCUGCUGGAUUUCUGAGGCCAGAAACCUUCACGGUCAAAAAUCUUCUGGAGCAGCAAAACAUGUCUGAGCUUCAUGAUGGAGAACUUCUCAGUUAAUCCUUCCUGAUGUCCUGCUGAACACAAGCAAGUGAUGAAGAGAACAGAACCUACCAGACAGGCCGACCUGCUGCCCCAGCACUGUGGCGUACAGGUGGGUGAUAUUGCGAGAGUAGCCUCCAA
Molecule: long non-coding RNA, 363 nt
Organism: Acanthopagrus latus (yellowfin seabream)
Lineage: Eukaryota; Metazoa; Chordata; Actinopteri; Spariformes; Sparidae
Exons: 3
Source: RefSeq, a predicted model, not a curated record